Long non-coding RNA from Thunnus maccoyii (southern bluefin tuna), 1882 nucleotides. RefSeq lists it as uncharacterized. The transcript has 3 exons. The record is from RefSeq and is a predicted model, not a curated record. Lineage: Eukaryota; Metazoa; Chordata; Actinopteri; Scombriformes; Scombridae.
ACCAAAUGCUGAUAACAAAAGAUUGAACAAAAGUGUUUUGAAUAUAGAUUAUUCAAAGUGUGAUUUAACUUAUUGGGUUUUUUUUUAUUUAUAAACACACAGAUUCCAGUCUAAAGUGACAACAAAACAGUAUGUACAAAUUCUUUAUUUUUACUAAAAGACAAUGAAUCAUGGGAAAACCCAGCCAGUUGAAGCUGGGCAGAGUAAUUCUCCUGCUUGAGCACGUUAUUCCUAUUGAUUAAUCUAAUCAAUAGGCAGAAAGUGGCAAAAGCUCAGCUGGGGAUUUGGUUAGCAACUAACGCUUGCUGUUGUCCUUGAACCUGACGCAUGUAUCUUGUUGAGUUGCAACCGGGAGAACAUUUGGCUGACAAUUAUGUUGAUGAAAAACGCUUGAAGAAAGAACCUGUCAGCGCCGUUCAACUGCCACUGCUUUUGCUUUUGCUUGUGAGUGUGUGUGUGUGUGAGACGACCUACUACUGUUGAUCCUGUUUGCAUGCGCAGCCAUAUGACAUGUAGCGGCUUGAUCAUACUUUGGAUUUCUUCAUUACUCUGGCUACGUCAAUCAAACGACUCAACUUUAAAAGGAGAAGUUAUGCCAGAAUCCUCCUUUAAAUCAACUGCGACGAGGGAGAAAGUGAAACAAAAUCCCAGAGAAAAACACCAUCCAUCAGACAAAUUGCUCAACAGAAAAGAAGCAUUACCUAACCCUUCCAACGGCGGCCCUUGCCAAAAGAAGCAUGGCUUUGACAUCUCAGCAGCUCCAGACAUUUGUUCCGCUAACUCGGGGGGAGCAACCUAAAGCCUUCUUGCCUGGCAGACCAGACAGACUGCAGGGCAGGGUGCAGCAGCCGGAGCGAGGUUUGGCCUGGGUGUGUGCGAAGUUAUAGGGUGUGGAGAGGUGCUAUAACUUACAAAGUGACACUGUAUCUAUCUCAUCCUUCUCUCACUCUCAGGUCUUUCUCCCUCCAAUUAACAAUAAAAUACAACUGCAGUGAUUCGGAAGCUGCACUGUGAGGUCCACAGAGGCGGGUUUGUCCAAAGGUCAUCUGCCUACCUGUCAGGACCUCCGCACUGCACUCUGAGCAGUGCUGUAGCCCCUUAGUCUAGAAUUGGGAAAGCAGGGGAGGGAAGUGAACUAAAAUGUCAAACAGAGACAGUGGAUGCACAAACAUCUCACACAUCAGCGCAUCUCACCCCAGACUUCCAGCCAAACAAGCUGGAAAAAGAAUACACAAGUGACUUCAUGGUUUGUUUGCAGUGAUACAUGAGAAAAACCAUUUAGGUGUAAUGGAAGGAAUUAGCCUAAAAGUAAAAUCUAAACAGACAAUGUUCCAAUUUGUUAUGUUACAAUAAACAGAAUAAUAAUCAGUAGAUCAGUGCAUGAUGUUGGCGAGCACGUUUACAAAUGUUUACAGCAGUUUAUCUUUGCCUCAUAACACAGCCCUGCUUGUGGUUAAGCCUCUGGUCAACCAAGAGUCUUUUACCCCCCAGAGGAAUGAAAUAUUCUGCAGCUGAAAUUUUAACCUAGAGGAGGUCAAUUUCCAGCAUUAGUACAAAGUCUUAAAUACACUGUAUCACUUUUGGGGACUUUCAGGCUCAUUUCUGACCACUUAUCAAAGAAUUUGCAUGCAGUUUUUUGAUAAUAUCUUUGUUUUUUCCUACUGUUUCAGUCAAGCUCAGGCUGUUAUUCAGUGUGCUGUCUAUUCAUUGCUGAUUUUUAAAAAGGUAAUUUUAUUACAAGAAAUACUUAAAAUCAGGAUUAAGAGCUUUUAAAUUAAGAAAAACAUAAUUCAACUAAGGAAUAAUCUCUAAUCACACCGGAAAUGUAACAAAAAUCCUUUCUCAAUCUUCUUUGCAAUCAAUAACCUUGUUGAACAAAGAU